GAGAUGUGGAUAUUAUGGUGUGGAGG
This 26-nucleotide non-coding RNA is filed under the name Bombyx mori (domestic silkworm). The record is from miRBase by way of RNAcentral. Lineage: Eukaryota; Metazoa; Arthropoda; Insecta; Lepidoptera; Bombycidae.